GGUGUGCGAAGGUGGAAUCUAAUGGAGAAAUCUCUUCUGUUCAUCGGAGGUCAAAUGGGUCUGAGUCGAUCGGACGUAGGAUGGAGAUGGAGAUUGAAAUGGUGAACCGACGUGGAUCAAACGAUCGUUUUACCCGGAAAUUCAGGUCGCCGGGAAAAGAGGAUGAUGGUGACGGAAUCGGAGCUGUUAGAGAGAAACUGAUGUUUGAUCUCUUAACAGAAGCUGAUAAGAUGAAAGAAACAAUCUUCAAAGAAGGUAUGGAUGAACAACCCAAGAAGUUUCCGUCGCCGUCGCCG
RNAcentral lists this unclassified non-coding RNA (296 nucleotides) under Hevea brasiliensis (rubber tree). Lineage: Eukaryota; Viridiplantae; Streptophyta; Magnoliopsida; Malpighiales; Euphorbiaceae. The record is from RNAcentral.